Molecule: ribosomal RNA, 495 nt
Filed under: uncultured bacterium
Lineage: Bacteria
Description: partial 16S ribosomal RNA
Rfam family: Bacterial small subunit ribosomal RNA
Source: RNAcentral
GAUGAACGCUGGCGGCGUGCCUAAUACAUGCAAGUCGAGCGAACGGACGAGGAGCUUGCUCCUCUGACGUUAGCGGCGGACGGGUGAGUAACACGUGGAUAACCUACCUAUAAGACUGGGAUAACUUCGGGAAACCGGAGCUAAUACCGGAUAAUAUAUUGAACCGCAUGGUUCAAUAGUGAAAGACGGUUUUGCUGUCACUUAUAGAUGGAUCCGCGCCGCAUUAGCUAGUUGGUAAGGUAACGGCUUACCAAGGCAACGAUGCGUAGCCGACCUGAGAGGGUGAUCGGCCAAACUGGAACUGAGACACGGUCCAGACUCCUACGGGAGGCAGCAGUAGGGAAUCUUCCGCAAUGGGCGAAAGCCUGACGGAGCAACGCCGCGUGAGUGAUGAAGGUCUUCGGAUCGUAAAACUCUGUUAUUAGGGAAGAACAAAUGUGUAAGUAACUAUGCACGUCUUGACGGUACCUAAUCAGAAAGCCACGGCUAACUACG